ACGAACGUUGGCGGCGUGCCUAAUACAUGCAAGUCGAGCGAGAACGGCGGGGCAACUCGCCUAGUAAAGCGGCGAGAGGGUGCGUAAUACAUGGAGAACAUACCCCUCGGUUCGGGAUAACCCAGCGAAAGCUGGACUAAUACCGGGAGACGUCUCGGGAGGGCAUCCUUCUGGGGCCAAAGCUUCACGCGCCGGGGGAGUGCUCCAUGGCCUAUCAGCUAGUUGGCGGGGUAACGGCCCACCAAGGCUGUGACGGGUAGCCGGACUGAGAGGUCGACCGGCCACAUGGGCACUGAGACACGGGCCCAACAUCUACGGAUGGCAGCAGUAGGGAAUCUUGCGCAAUGGGCGAAAGCCUGACGCAGCGACGCCGCGUGGAGGACGAAGGCCUUCGGGUUGUAAACUCCUUUCGGGGGGGAAGAACACUGACCUAACCCCCAGAAGAAGCACCGGCUAACUCCGU
RNAcentral lists this ribosomal RNA (463 nucleotides) under uncultured bacterium. RNAcentral describes it as "bacterial SSU rRNA". It matches the Rfam family "Bacterial small subunit ribosomal RNA", at positions 29 to 506 of the family's 1533-position model. The record is from RNAcentral.